Molecule: ribosomal RNA, 255 nt
Filed under: uncultured bacterium
Lineage: Bacteria
Description: partial 16S ribosomal RNA
Rfam family: Bacterial small subunit ribosomal RNA
Source: RNAcentral
CGGACGGGUGAGUAACGCGUGGGUAACCUGCCUUACACAGGGGGAUAACACUUAGAAAUAGGUGCUAAAACCGCAUAAGCGCACAGCUUCGCAUGAAGCGGUGUGAAAAACUCCGGUGGUGUAAGAUGGACCCGCGUCUGAUUAGCUUGUUGGCGGGGUAACGGCCCACCAAGGCGACGAUCAGUAGCCGGCCUGAGAGGGCGGACGGCCACAUUGGGACUGAGACACGGCUCAGACUCCUACGGAAGGCAGCAG